UCGAGAAUCUUCGGCAAUGGACGCAAGUCUGACCGAGCGACGCCGCGUGGAGGAUGAAGGCCUUCGGGUUGUAAACUCCUGUCACGGGACGAGAAUAAGUGGGGGUUCAUACCCCCCAUGAUGACUAUCCCGAGAGGAAGCCACGGCUAACUCUGUGCCAGCAGCCGCGGUAAUACAGAGGCGGCAAGCGUUGUUCGGAAUCACUGGGCAUAAAGGGCGCGUAGGUGGUCAGGAAGGUUAGGGGUGAAAUCCCUCGGCUCAACCGGGGAAACGCCUCUAAAACCGCCUGGCUGGAGCGAAACAGGGGAGAGUGGAACUCGUGGUGGAGCGGUGAAAUGCGUAGAUAUCACGAGGAACGCCGGCGGCGAAGGCGACUCUCUGGGUUUCUGCUGACGCUGAGGCGCGAAAGCUGGGGGAGCAAACG
Molecule: ribosomal RNA, 424 nt
Filed under: uncultured prokaryote
Description: bacterial SSU rRNA
Rfam family: Bacterial small subunit ribosomal RNA
Source: RNAcentral